This 18-nucleotide small RNA is filed under the name Arabidopsis thaliana (thale cress). RNAcentral describes it as "ATSL070010". Lineage: Eukaryota; Viridiplantae; Streptophyta; Magnoliopsida; Brassicales; Brassicaceae. The record is from RNAcentral.
AAGAUGCAUAAUAAUAAA